Molecule: ribosomal RNA, 55 nt
Filed under: Saprolegnia sp. F-1561.8
Lineage: Eukaryota; Oomycota; Saprolegniomycetes; Saprolegniales; Saprolegniaceae
Description: partial 18S ribosomal RNA
Source: RNAcentral
UGAAAGUAAAAGGUCGUACAAGGUUUCGGGGAGGUGGACCUGUGGAAGGAUCACA